CGCCGGCCGGCUCAGUCCACCGCCCCGCUCCCGACCUCGCGCCCCACCCCUUGGAUGAGAAAACUGAAACUGAGAGGGGACGUGACUGAUCCAAGGCCCAACCCAGAGCUGGAUCACAAGGAAGACUGGAAGCUCCACCCCGCCAUGGAGCUUCCCUGUUACCAGAGGACACAAACACACAUCUGCAUGUUGAUCUGCUUUCAUCUCAACUGAAAAACAUGGGUCUCACCAACACCGAAUUUGAAAGACAGCUGAACCAGGCCUCAGUGGUCUUGAAGCGACAAGAAGGAUGCCAUCGUAGCCU
This 304-nucleotide long non-coding RNA is filed under the name Pan troglodytes (chimpanzee). RNAcentral describes it as "long non-coding RNA NONPTRT017878". Lineage: Eukaryota; Metazoa; Chordata; Mammalia; Primates; Hominidae. The record is from RNAcentral.